CAGCCGCCACGGGAAAACGAAGGGGGCUAGCGUUGUUCGGAAUUACUGGGCGUAAAGCGCACGUAGGCGGACAUUUAAGUCAGGGGUGAAAUCCCGGGGCUCAACCCCGGAACUGCCUUUGAUACUGGGUGUCUUGAGUGUGGAAGAGGUCAGUGGAAUUGCGAGUGUAGAGGUGAAAUUCGUAGAUAUUCGCAGGAACACCAGUGGCGAAGGCGGCUGACUGGUCCACAACUGACGCUGAGGUGCGAAAGCGUGGGGAGCAAACAGGAUUAGAUACCCCGGUAGUCCCUGUCUCUUAUAC
This 301-nucleotide ribosomal RNA is filed under the name uncultured bacterium. RNAcentral's name for it is "partial 16S ribosomal RNA". It matches the Rfam family "Bacterial small subunit ribosomal RNA", at positions 509 to 807 of the family's 1533-position model. The record is from RNAcentral.